Molecule: long non-coding RNA, 2636 nt
Filed under: Rosa chinensis
Lineage: Eukaryota; Viridiplantae; Streptophyta; Magnoliopsida; Rosales; Rosaceae
Description: sRNA RchiOBHm_Chr7g0211661
Source: RNAcentral
GGCGGCGGCACAAUCGCUCGACUCAUUUGAUCGGACCCUCGCGCCGACGGACUUGGGGUCUCUAUGGUGCCGUCCGCCCGGGUGUGCGCCGCCAGGAAUCCAGCACGCGACACCUCCGACGGGGUGGGGUGGGGAGUCUGCUGGGACCCCUCCGCCGGAUGUGCGCCACUUUAUCCACUGCCUGACCGGGCGCCUCCCGUUGGGGCAGGCACGUCAUCUUUCUCCAGCGGGGUACUCUUAGCCGGCGGCACAUCAGGCUGUGACGCUUUGGCGAAGUCGAUGGCGCCCUUCCGCUUCAGCAUGUCUAUGUUUGCUACAGCUCCAGCCUUCGCUGACUCGAUCAUCGCCUUCUUAAACUCCGCCGACUGCUUGAAUGCUUCAACGGCGGCGGCCGCGGCUGUACUCCCUUCAGCCCUCAGGCGGGUAACCUCACCCUCCAGCCGCUUCACCUCAGUCAUUCUGGCGGUGGACUCCCGCUGCACAACAAUGAGUUUUUUGUCCUUGGCGGCUAUCCGCUCCUGCAGCAGGGCGAUGUCCUGCUCCAACUUGGAGACAUGUUCAUUCCUCUCCAAGUCCCGCUCGAUGGCUACGUUGAGCUUACCGCGGACGUCGGCAUAGUCACAUUCCCCCUUGGCCAGCCCCCGCUCUACCUCCGCCAGUUGCUCCUUCGCCUCCGCCAACUCCCUCUGGAGACCUUGGAUUUCCUCCCUCAGCUCCCCCUCGACCAGGGGCUGCUUUGAUGCCGCCACGAACAUGUCAUGUAGUCCCGCCGAUAUUUGACCAAACGCCGAGCUGAAGGGCGAUUGGUCAAUUGCCGUGGGGCGCGAGAUACCCGCUAGGCCGCCGAACCCUAGCCGUUCGCAUAGAUGGAAGAGGAACUCCCGCUCACCAUCUGUCAUGAACGCAGCAUACUCGGCGAACGAGUCCAGCUCACUAGCGGCGGGCGCCUCUCCCUCCACCGCAACAGUUUUCGACGGAGCUUGUCGGGCCUUCUUCUGUUAGCGGGCCCCGAUCACCUCCACCCCCUCCCCUCUUCCUCAGAAGGAGAGUCAACUUGCCGACGUUUUCUCUCCAGCGCCCUUUGGUUCCCGGCGGCGGUCCUCGUCGUCCUCACCGGCGGCUCCUCCCUUGGUACAGUGACAGUUUCCGCCGGUUGCACCACCUUCUCCUUUUGGGGGCCACGCCUACUGGCAGGCAUCCGCUCCUUCUGUUGCCCCGCUGCAGCGCUUCCCCUCUCCCCGCCGGCCACUUGGGUCCCCGCCUGCACUACCGGCAGACCAUCCUCACCAAGAUGGGAGUGGUGCGGCAUUGGCAGCACCACCGGAACCUCGGACUGGCUCAGCGCCAGUGUCUCGGGGUUCACCAGCGUCUUCUGGGCCGCCAGCCCCUCGGCGUACAUGGUCUCCAGAAAGUUGUCUAUCUCCGCGCGGUCCAUUGCUUUUUCAAAAGCGUCGCGACUCGAUUUGUUACCAGGCGGGGUUUCUAAAAAAAAAAAAGAAAACCCGUCAGUCCGGAUCACUUGUUACAAAAAAAAAAAAGGUAUGGCGGAGAUUUCUCACCAACGGAGCGAGUUAGCCGCUGUUCGACUAAUAACUCCCAACCGGUCAGAAGUCGGAAGUCCAACAAAUUGCGGUUCCGCCAGCAACCUCUGAUCCUCGCUACGCGACACUCCUCUUCGAGCAUUAGGGUAUACCGCAGUCCCGCUGCACAAACACAGUAAUCGUUAGUAAGAAUACAAGUCUGUAAAUACAUGAACCCGCCAACUACGUUCAGCGGAAACCGGUUACCAACCUCGGAUGGGUUGGAACUCCGACUUAAUCUUAUAUGUCGGCCCUUCCUCGUUCGACCUGGCGUGAUACUCCCAACCCUCUGUGGCGACGCAGAAGGUCCCCCGCCAGUAGGACAUUGAGUCCCUUAGAUUCUCGAUCAGUUUGGGCGCUCCCUGACUGCGGCUCAGGUUCACUUGCCCUCUGCAACCUCGGCGCUUCACGUACACCAGCUCGUAGAAGUGAAGCACUUCCGCCACAGUAGGUCCCUCGCACCCGGACAACCGCCACAGUGAGUUCAUUGCCAACAUCAACCGCCACAUGUUGGGGCAAAUCUGACCGAAGGCAAGGCCAAAUUCGCACACCAGGAUUUGGAGAUUCGGCACCAGCGGAAGUGUCACUCCUUGGCGGAAUAUCGCCUCAUGCACCGCCGCAAAUCCCACUGGGAGAAUCGACGCCUUCUCAUACGCCGUCGGCUGGCGGAGCUUCACCAAGCCAGGCAACCGGAACGUCUGCUUCAUUCGAGUGACAGCGGCGGCAUUCAUCCGCCCUCCUGCCUCGUCGACGGCGGUGCCAUCCUGGAGGAACCACGCUGACUCAGCAUUCUGCCCCGCUGCUUCUUCUUCCCCAGCGGAGCCGCUGGCAGCACUAUUGCUCGCCAAACGCUCGUCGCGCCUAGCUUUGGCAGCAGCGGCCUCACCCGCCCUAGAGCUCUCUGGACGCGGACCACGACCCAUAGCUACUUCCCAAGGUAUGGUCUGUAGCGGCUCAACCUCUAGCGGUUCUGGCAGUGAGGUUCCUGCAUGGGCAGACGGACGCAACGAAUCAAUAAAAAUCCUAUCCGCCGCGCUGAACGACACGUCAGACCCG